GGCUCAGGAUGAACGCUAGCGACAGGCCUAACACAUGCAAGUCGAGGGGCAGCGCGGAAGUAGCUUGCUAUUCUGGCGGCGACCGGCGCACGGGUGCGUAACAGGUGUGCAAUCUGUCCAUAGUCGGGGAAUAGUCCAGCGAAAGUUGGAUUAAUGCUCCAUGUGAAGAGAAGCCGCAUGACUUUUCUUUGAAACGUAAGGACUAUGGGUGAGCACGCUUCUGAUUAGAUAGUUGGUGAGGUAACGGCUCACCAAGUCGACGAUCAGUAGGGGUUCUGAGAGGAAGGUCCCCCACAUUGGAACUGAGACACGGUCCAAACUCCUACGGGAGGCAGCGGUGAGGAAUAUUGGCCAAUGGGCGAGAGCCUGAACCAGCCAAGUCGCGUGAAGGAAUGAAGGUUCUAUGGAUUGUAAACUUCUUUUGUCCGAGGGUGAAAAAGGCCACGUGUGGCUUCUUGCAAGUAUCGGACGAAUAAGCAUCGGCUAACUCCGUGCCAGCAGCCGC
This 505-nucleotide ribosomal RNA is filed under the name uncultured bacterium. Its description in RNAcentral is "bacterial SSU rRNA". It matches the Rfam family "Bacterial small subunit ribosomal RNA", at positions 21 to 518 of the family's 1533-position model. The record is from RNAcentral.